CCUACGGGAGGCAGCAGUGAGGAAUAUUGGUCAAUGGGCGUAAGCCUGAACCAGCCAAGUCGCGUGAGGGAUGAAGGUUCUAUGGAUCGUAAACCUCUUUUAUAAGGGAAUAAAGUGUGGGACGUGUCCUAUUUUGUAUGUACCUUAUGAAUAAGGAUCGGCUAACUCCGUGCCAGCAGCCGCGGUAAUACGGAGGAUCCGAGCGUUAUCCGGAUUUAUUGGGUUUAAAGGGUGCGUAGGCGGCCUUUUAAGUCAGCGGUGAAAGUCUGUGGCUCAACCAUAGCAUUGCCGUUGAAACUGGAGGGCUGGAGUGUGUUUGAGGGAGGCGGAAGGCGUGGUGUAGCGGUGAAAUGCUUAGAUAUCACGCAGAACCCCGAUUGCGAAGGCAGCCUGCCAAGCCGUGACUGACGCUGAUGCACGAAAGCGUGGGGAUCAAACAGGAUUAGAUACCCCUGUAGUC
This 460-nucleotide ribosomal RNA is filed under the name uncultured bacterium. Its description in RNAcentral is "partial 16S ribosomal RNA". It matches the Rfam family "Bacterial small subunit ribosomal RNA", at positions 338 to 795 of the family's 1533-position model. The record is from RNAcentral.